Raphanus sativus (radish) is the source of this 1548-nucleotide long non-coding RNA. RefSeq lists it as uncharacterized. NCBI's taxonomy places the organism in Eukaryota, Viridiplantae, Streptophyta, Magnoliopsida, Brassicales, Brassicaceae. The record is from RefSeq and is a predicted model, not a curated record. The transcript has 4 exons.
CAAACCUAAGUCUUUUUUCUAUACUUCGCUUCCUUUUUGUCGGAGAAUCAAAUAAAAGACUUUUCAUCUGCUCUGUUCAUCUCUUUGCGACGCUUUUUAUCAGAGAUCAAAUUGAUGGAUCGAUCUUUGUGAGAAAACGAUGAUUCAAAACCAACAAUGAUACUAAUCCCAACUUCUUCUUCUUCGUCUUACUCUUGUUGUACCCUUCCUCAAGCUUCCUUCAAUUCUAAUUCAUAUCCAUCAAAUCAGUCUCUGUUCCUCUCCAAAUCCGGUUAUCCAAUUCCACAUGAUACUUAUGCUUCAGUCUGUUGAUUUAAACUCCUUUCGCUAGGAUCUGAGUAUAAGUCUAAGCCUUCUGAUCCUUAAAGUAGCCCAAAAAGAUUUGCAUGUUAGAGUCUACAUAUAUUUCUGGAUCGUUAAUGAGAUUUGGUUAUUUAGAUGGAUUGAUUUUUUGUUUGUUUCAUGUUUAUAUAUAUUAACUAUGAGAAAUCGUUGUAGAUUGGUAGCUUGAAACAUCAACCAGCAAUGGAAACAGAGGAUGAUGAAUCAGUGAGCAUGAAUGGAAUAGCGUGUUCAAGAUGGAUAUUCUCAAAUAAUAUGCCGUUCGUAAUGAAACAAAAACUCCAAAUUUAGACUCCAGUGACUCAGAAUCGAGGAUCUGAAAGGUUUGAAGUAUUAGCAUCAGAACGGAAUGAAAGUUAUAUAUAGGAGAUAGAGAGAACCAUCUGAUCUGAGCUUACUAUAAAAAAAGAGAGUUACAACAGAGGGAGUCUCUGUUCAAAAAAAAAAACAGAGGGGGUCUGAGAAGAGCUAAGGAGAAAAGAACUAAAUAUGUAUCAAAGGAGAGACAAAGGAAGAACAUGCAAGGUUUCUCUGUGAUGAAAGUUAUAGUAAAAGAUGCAAUCACUUUGCAGAGAUCUACGGGACAGAGGAUGAAACUUUCCAUUAGGCAGAUGAUACAAAGAGAUAAAGUUCUCAAAUAUUAUGAUGGUAUGUACGAAUAGGAGGUAAGAAACAUGUUCUCAUGUAUUAUUCUUCUUUUUCAAUUAAUUGUGUAUGGUUGUUUUGUAUAAGGUUUGGAAAUAAUUUGUAUUUUUUUUAUUUGCUUUGCAUGAUUUGAAACGUUUUGGAGAACGAAGACCAUAGUCCAGAUUACAAAUUUAGACAACGCAUUUGUCGACCAACUGGAACAAAACACGGUGAAAUUUACCUCCUGCUCCAGUUAUUUUAAAGGUGUCAAUGAGCUUCCAUUCACCAAAAGGGGGUAACGUUGAACACAAAACAUUUGAGAUCUUUUGCAUGAAGCCUGGAUUUAGCACCCUGAUAAGAAAACACAAUAGAAUAUGGAUCAGUAUUAGUUGAGAAUCGAUAUCUAUCUAUAUAGCAAAAUGAAAUGUAUCUUACAGUUUGGUGUACCAGGACGCACUCAAAACUCUCUCCUCCAUAACUGGUGUUUUGUUUUCAGCAACGAAACAUUUUUAGAGUUAGACGCCAUUCAUCUCUGUAAGGUUUGAGAUCCUUAAUAAGACACAUUUUUCUUUCGUUUGA